This 274-nucleotide unclassified non-coding RNA is filed under the name fungal sp. RNAcentral's name for it is "partial contains small subunit ribosomal RNA, internal transcribed spacer 1, and 5.8S ribosomal RNA". The stretch from base 1 to 46 matches the Rfam family "Eukaryotic small subunit ribosomal RNA", at positions 1786 to 1831 of the family's 1831-position model. Lineage: Eukaryota; Fungi. The record is from RNAcentral.
AAGUCGUAACAAGGUUUCCGUAGGUGAACCUGCGGAAGGAUCAUUAUCGAGUUAGGGUCUUCUCGGCCCGACCUCCCAACCCUUUGUUAAAACUACCACUUGUUGCUUCGGCAGGCCCGUCCCCCUGUGGACCGCCGGCGGACCGCCGAAAGGCGUCCUCUGGCCUGCGCCUGUCGAUAGCCCCCCCUUUCAAAUUCUGAACAAAACGUGUCAUGAUCUGAGUCUAUCACAAAAAUUAAAGCAAAAACUUUCAACAACGGAUCUCUUGGUUCUG